RNAcentral lists this ribosomal RNA (494 nucleotides) under uncultured bacterium. RNAcentral's name for it is "partial 16S ribosomal RNA". It matches the Rfam family "Bacterial small subunit ribosomal RNA", at positions 28 to 507 of the family's 1533-position model. The record is from RNAcentral.
GACGAACGCUGGCGGCGUGCUUAACACAUGCAAGUCGAACGGAAAGGCCUGCUUUCCCUUGUGGAUUGCGGGUACUCGAGUGGCGAACGGGUGAGUAACACGUGAGUGAUCUGCCCCCAACUUGGUUAUAAGCCUGGGAAACUGGGUCUAAUUCCCGAUAGGACUGCAGGGUGGUGCCUGUGGUGGAAAUCGAUGUUCUAGUGGUUGGGGAUGAGCUCGCGGCCUAUCAGCUUGUUGGUGGGGUAAUGGCCUACCAAGGCGGCGACGGGUAGCCGGCCUGAGAGGGUGGAGGGCGACAGUGGGACUGAGAUACGGCCCAGACUCCUACGGGAGGCAGCAGUGGGGAAGAUGAGACGAGGGGCGGAAGCCUGAUGCAGCGACGCAGCGUGGGGGAUGACGGGCUUCGGGUUGUAAACUCCUUUCGACCGCGAGGAAGCCACCUGGUUGGAAGGGUGGUGACGGUAGUGGUAGAAGAAGCACCGGCUAACUACGUG